This 2728-nucleotide ribosomal RNA is filed under the name Salmonella enterica subsp. enterica serovar Typhimurium. RNAcentral's name for it is "partial 23S ribosomal RNA". It matches the Rfam family "Bacterial large subunit ribosomal RNA". The record is from RNAcentral. Lineage: Bacteria; Pseudomonadati; Pseudomonadota; Gammaproteobacteria; Enterobacterales; Enterobacteriaceae.
AAUCCAUAGGUUAAUGAGGCGAACCGGGGGAACUGAAACAUCUAAGUACCCCGAGGAAAAGAAAUCAACCGAGAUUCCCCCAGUAGCGGCGAGCGAACGGGGAGGAGCCCAGAGCCUGAAUCAGCAUGUGUGUUAGUGGAAGCGUCUGGAAAGGCGCGCGAUACAGGGUGACAGCCCCGUACACAAAAGCGCAUGUGCUGUGAGCUCGAUGAGUAGGGCGGGACACGUGGUAUCCUGUCUGAAUAUGGGGGGACCAUCCUCCAAGGCUAAAUACUCCUGACUGACCGAUAGUGAACCAGUACCGUGAGGGAAAGGCGAAAAGAACCCCGGCGAGGGGAGUGAAAAAGAACCUGAAACCGUGUACGUACAAGCAGUGGGAGCACAGGUUUACCUGUGUGACUGCGUACCUUUUGUAUAAUGGGUCAGCGACUUAUAUUCUGUAGCAAGGUUAACCGUAUAGGGGAGCCGUAGGGAAACCGAGUCUUAACCGGGCGUUAAGUUGCAGGGUAUAGACCCGAAACCCGGUGAUCUAGCCAUGGGCAGGUUGAAGGUUGGGUAACACUAACUGGAGGACCGAACCGACUAAUGUUGAAAAAUUAGCGGAUGACCUGUGGCUGGGGGUGAAAGGCCAAUCAAACCGGGAGAUAGCUGGUUCUCCCCGAAAGCUAUUUAGGUAGCGCCUCGUGAAUUCAUCUCCGGGGGUAGAGCACUGUUUCGGCUAGGGGGCCAUCCCGGCUUACCAACCCGAUGCAAACUGCGAAUACCGGAGAAUGUUAUCACGGGAGACACACGGCGGGUGCUAACGUCCGUCGUGAAGAGGGAAACAACCCAGACCGCCAGCUAAGGUCCCAAAGUCAUGGUUAAGUGGGAAACGAUGUGGGAAGGCCCAGACAGCCAGGAUGUUGGCUUAGAAGCAGCCAUCAUUUAAAGAAAGCGUAAUAGCUCACUGGUCGAGUCGGCCUGCGCGGAAGAUGUAACGGGGCUAAACCAUGCACCGAAGCUGCGGCAGCGAACGUAUCACCCAAGACAACUUUACGGAGUUGACGAUUGACGGAGCGAAGCGACGUCAAAGCGUUCAUUAAAGUCGAGUUGGCUUAGGGAUACGUUCGUUGGGUAGGGGAGCGUUCUGUAAGCCUGUGAAGGUGUGUCGUGAGGCAUGCUGGAGGUAUCAGAAGUGCGAAUGCUGACAUAAGUAACGAUAAAGCGGGUGAAAAGCCCGCUCGCCGGAAGACCAAGGGUUCCUGUCCAACGUUAAUCGGGGCAGGGUGAGUCGACCCCUAAGGCGAGGCCGAAAGGCGUAGUCGAUGGGAAACGGGUUAAUAUUCCCGUACUUGGUGUUACUGCGAAGGGGGGACGGAGAAGGCUAUGUUGGCCGGGCGACGGUUGUCCCGGUUUAAGCGUGUAGGUGUGUGUUCCAGGUAAAUCCGGUUCACUUUAACACUGAGGCGUGACGACGAGGCACUACGGUGCUGAAGCAACAAAUGCCCUGCUUCCAGGAAAAGCCUCUAAGCAUCAGGUAACAUCAAAUCGUACCCCAAACCGACACAGGUGGUCAGGUAGAGAAUACCAAGGCGCUUGAGAGAACUCGGGUGAAGGAACUAGGCAAAAUGGUGCCGUAACUUCGGGAGAAGGCACGCUGACACGUAGGUGAAGUGAUUUACUCAUGGAGCUGAAGUCAGUCGAAGAUACCAGCUGGCUGCAACUGUUUAUUAAAAACACAGCACUGUGCAAACACGAAAGUGGACGUAUACGGUGUGACGCCUGCCCGGUGCCGGAAGGUUAAUUGAUGGGGUCAGCGCAAGCGAAGCUCCUGAUCGAAGCCCCGGUAAACGGCGGCCGUAACUAUAACGGUCCUAAGGUAGCGAAAUUCCUUGUCGGGUAAGUUCCGACCUGCACGAAUGGCGUAAUGAUGGCCAGGCUGUCUCCACCCGAGACUCAGUGAAAUUGAACUCGCUGUGAAGAUGCAGUGUACCCGCGGCAAGACGGAAAGACCCCGUGAACCUUUACUAUAGCUUGACACUGAACAUUGAGCCUUGAUGUGUAGGAUAGGUGGGAGGCUUUGAAGUGUGGACGCCAGUCUGCAUGGAGCCGACCUUGAAAUACCACCCUUUAAUGUUUGAUGUUCUAACGUGGACCCGUAAUCCGGGUUGCGGACAGUGUCUGGUGGGUAGUUUGACUGGGGCGGUCUCCUCCUAAAGAGUAACGGAGGAGCACGAAGGUUGGCUAAUCCUGGUCGGACAUCAGGAGGUUAGUGCAAUGGCAUAAGCCAGCUUGACUGCGAGCGUGACGGCGCGAGCAGGUGCGAAAGCAGGUCAUAGUGAUCCGGUGGUUCUGAAUGGAAGGGCCAUCGCUCAACGGAUAAAAGGUACUCCGGGGAUAACAGGCUGAUACCGCCCAAGAGUUCAUAUCGACGGCGGUGUUUGGCACCUCGAUGUCGGCUCAUCACAUCCUGGGGCUGAAGUAGGUCCCAAGGGUAUGGCUGUUCGCCAUUUAAAGUGGUACGCGAGCUGGGUUUAGAACGUCGUGAGACAGUUCGGUCCCUAUCUGCCGUGGGCGCUGGAGAACUGAGGGGGGCUGCUCCUAGUACGAGAGGACCGGAGUGGACGCAUCACUGGUGUUCGGGUUGUCAUGCCAAUGGCACUGCCCGGUAGCUAAAUGCGGAAGAGAUAAGUGCUGAAAGCAUCUAAGCACGAAACUUGCCCCGAGAUGAGUUCUCCCUGAGACUUAG